GGUCAAGUUAUUAAGGGCGCAGGGUGGAUGCCUUGGCGCCAGGGGCCGAUGAAGGACGUGGCAAGACUGCGAUAAGCCCGGGCUAGCUGUCUAGCGAGCUCAACCCGGGAUCUCCGAAUGGGGCAACCCGGUCCGGGUCAUACCGGAUCACCGCUGGCUGAACACAUAGGCCAGAUGGAGGGCACCGGGGGAACUGAAACAUCUCAGUACCCCGAGGAAAAGAAAGUAUUCCCUUAGUAGCGGCGAGCGAACGGGGAGCAGCCCAAACCGUCAUCUUCGGAUGGCGGGGUUGUAGGACGGCCGCACGGAGUUACCAAUCGACCUGAUAGCUGAAGGGCCUGGAACGGUCCACCGCAGCGGGUGAGAGUCCCGUAAGCGAAAUCGGCGUCGACUCCGGCCGGAUCCUGAGUACCAGCGAACACGUGAAAUUCGCUGGGAAGCUGGGGAGACCACUCUCCAAGGCUAAAUACCCCUGGUGACCGAUAGUGAACCAGUACCGCGAGGGAAAGGUGAAAAGCACCCCGGGAGGGGAGUGAAAUAGACCUGAAACCCUGCGCUUACAAGCAGUCAGAGCCGCCUCGAGCGGUGAUGGCGUGCCUAUUGAAGAAUGAGCCGACGAGUUACGUUCAGUGGCAAGGUUAAGCGAUGUGAGUCGCGGAGCCGGAGCGAAAGCGAGUCUGAAUAGGGCAUUCAGUCGCUGGACGUAGACCCGAAACCGAGUGAUCUACCCAUGGGCAGCGUGAAGCGGGGGUAAAACCACGUGGAGGCGCGAACCUUCCUGCGUUGCAAAGCAGUUGGAUGACCUGUGGGUAGCGGUGAAAUGCUAAUCGAACUCGGAGAUAGCUGGUUCUCCCCGAAAUGCAUCUAGGUGCAGCCUCAGGUGUUUUCCGGUGGGGGUAGAGCUCUGAUAGGGCUAGGGGGCAUAGCGCUUACCAAACCCUCUCAAACUGCGAAUACCAUCGGAUGAGAGCCUGGGAGUGAGACUGCGGGUACUAAGAUCCGUAGUCAAAAGGGAAACAGCCCAGACCCACAGCUAAGGUCCCUAAAUCCACGCUCAGUGUUAAAGGAUGUCUGGCCGCACAGACAGCCAGGAUGUUGGCUUAGAAGCAGCCACCAUUGAAAGAGUGCGUAACAGCUCACUGGUCGAGUAGCCGGGCGCCGACAAUGUAUCGGGGCUCAAGCGUGGUACCGAAGCUUGGGGAUCGUCUUUGACGAUCGGUAGGGGAGCGUUCUGCCAGCAGUGAAGCGGGAUGGGUGACCACCCGUGGAGCGGGCAGAAGUGAGAAUGUCGGCAUGAGUAGCGUAAUUCAGGUGAGAAACCUGGACGCCGUAAGCCUGAGGGUUCCUACGCAAGGUUAUUCCGCGUAGGGUUAGGCGGGCCUAAGCCGAGGGCGAGAGCCGUAGGCGAUGGACAGCAGGUUAGUAUUCCUGCCCCGCUGCGUGUGCGUUUGAGAUGAGAGGCGUGACCCGGGAGGAUAGGUGGAGCGGACCCUGUGGACAUGGUCCGUCCCUGCACCGUAGGCAUCUGGCGAUAGGCAAAUCCGUUGCCAGGCUAAGCGGAGGGUGUGGGGGAAGCAGCGACGACAGUCAAAGCGAUUCUGCUGAGUCCAUGCCGGCUAGAAAAGCGUCGUCAUCGAGUACAUGUGGCGCCCGUACCGCAAACCGACACUGGUGGGCGACGGUAAGUACCGUAAGGCGUUCGAGAGAACCUUCGUUAAGGAACUCUGCAAUUUGGCUCCGUAACUUCGGGAGAAGGAGCGCCCCUGAGGGUGAAGGACUUCGCGUCCUGAGCGCUCGGGGGCCGCAGUGAGCUGGCCCAGGCGACUGUUUAACAAAAACACAGGUCUCUGCUAACCGGUAACGGGAUGUAUAGGGGCUGACGCCUGCCCAGUGCCGGAAGGUUAAGGGGAGAGCUGAGAGGCUUGAACCGAAGCCCCGGUGAACGGCGGCCGUAACUAUAACGGUCCUAAGGUAGCGAAAUUCCUUGUCGGGUAAGUUC
RNAcentral lists this ribosomal RNA (1999 nucleotides) under Dehalococcoidia bacterium. RNAcentral describes it as "partial 23S ribosomal RNA". It matches the Rfam family "Bacterial large subunit ribosomal RNA", at positions 1 to 1983 of the family's 2925-position model. Lineage: Bacteria; Bacillati; Chloroflexota; Dehalococcoidia. The record is from RNAcentral.